AAACAUAGACUAAUCUUUACCUAACAUACUCCGCCCGGGUAUUACGAGCAUCAGCUUAAAACCCAAAGGACUUGGCGGUGCUUUACAUCCACCUAGAGGAGCCUGUUCUGUAACCGAUAACCCCCGUUAAACCUCACCUCUCCUUGCUUAACCCGCCUAUAUACCACCGUCGUCAGCUUACCCUCUGAAGGCCAAAUAGUAAGCUAAAUUGGCAAACCCCAGAACGUCAGGUCGAGGUGUAGUGCAUGCAGAGGGAAGAAAUGGGCUACAUUUGCUUUAAAAGCAAAUACGAAUGAGGUACUGAAAUGUACCACUGAAGGAGGAUUUAGCAGUAAGCGGGAAAUAGAGUGUCCC
Molecule: ribosomal RNA, 354 nt
Filed under: Citharichthys minutus
Lineage: Eukaryota; Metazoa; Chordata; Actinopteri; Pleuronectiformes; Cyclopsettidae
Description: partial 12S ribosomal RNA
Rfam family: Bacterial small subunit ribosomal RNA
Source: RNAcentral